This 465-nucleotide ribosomal RNA is filed under the name Haptophyta environmental samples. RNAcentral describes it as "SSU rRNA". It matches the Rfam family "Eukaryotic small subunit ribosomal RNA", at positions 432 to 900 of the family's 1831-position model. Lineage: Eukaryota; Haptophyta. The record is from RNAcentral.
GCGCGUAAAUUGCCCGAAUCCUGACACAGGGAGGUAGUGACAAGAAAUAACAAUACAGGGCUACUUCUAGUCUUGUAAUUGGAAUGAGUACAACUUACAUCUCUUCACGAGGAUCAAUUGGAAGGCAAGUCUGGUGCCAGCAGCCGCGGUAAUUCCAGCUCCAAUAGCGUAUAUUAAAGUUGUUGCAGUUAAAAAGCUCGUAGUCGGAUUUCGGGUCGGGCCGAGCGGUCUGCCGAUGGGUAUGCACUGUUCGGCGCGGCCUUCUUUCCGGAGACCGCGGCUACUCUUAACUGAGCGGGCGUGGGAGACGGAUCGUUUACUUUGAAAAAAUCAGAGUGUUUCAAGCAGGCAGCUCGCUCUUGCAUGGAUUAGCAUGGGAUAAUGAAAUAGGACUCUGGUGCUAUUUUGUUGGUUUCGAACACCGGAGUAAUGAUUAACAGGGACAGUCAGGGGCACUCGUAUUCC